CAUUACUGAGUCGUAAAAAACUCCCAACCCAUGUGAAUUUACCUUUGUUGCCUCGGCGGGACCUACCUGGUACCUACCCUGUAGCCCGCCGGUGGACUAUUAAACUCUUGUUAUUUUAUAUAUAUCUGAGCGUCUUAUUAAAUAAGUCAAAACUUUUAACAACGGAUCUCUUGGUUCUGGCAUCGAUGAAGAACGCAGCGAAAUGCGAUAAGUAAUGUGAAUUGCAGAAUUCAGUGAAUCAUCGAAUCUUUGAACGCACAUUGCGCCCAUUAGUAUUCUAUUGGGCAUGCCUGUUCGAGCGUCAUUUCAACCCUUAAGCUCAGCUUAGUGUUGGGAAUCUACCGUGAGCGGUGUUACCCGGUACCUACCCUAUAACGGGGCCAGGUUACCCUGUAGCUACCCUGUAGUUCCUCAAAUCCAACGGCGGAGUCAUAGUCAUCUCUGAGCGCAGUAAUUUUUAUCACGCUUUUGAAAAUGCUAUAACUUUAGCCGCUAAACCCCCAAUUUUUUAAUGGUUGACCUCGGAUCAGGUAGGAAUACCC
This 542-nucleotide ribosomal RNA is filed under the name uncultured Ascomycota. RNAcentral describes it as "eukaryotic LSU rRNA". The stretch from base 151 to 304 matches the Rfam family "5.8S ribosomal RNA". The record is from RNAcentral. Lineage: Eukaryota; Fungi; Ascomycota.